AUUGAACGCUGGCGGCAGGCCUAACACAUGCAAGUCGGACGGUAGCACAGAGAGCUUGCUCUCGGGUGACGAGUGGCGGACGGGUGAGUAAUGUCUGGGGAUCUGCCCGAUAGAGGGGGAUAACCACUGGAAACGGUGGCUAAUACCGCAUAACGUCGCAAGACCAAAGAGGGGGACCUUCGGGCCUCUCACUAUCGGAUGAACCCAGAUGGGAUUAGCUAGUAGGCGGGGUAAUGGCCCACCUAGGCGACGAUCCCUAGCUGGUCUGAGAGGAUGACCAGCCACACUGGGACUGAGACACGGUCCAGACUCCUACGGGAGGCAGCAGUGGGGAAUAUUGCACAAUGGGCGCAAGCCUGAUGCAGCCAUGCCGCGUGUAUGAAGAAGGCCUUCGGGUUGUAAAGUACUUUCAGCGGGGAGGAAGGCGGUGCGGUUAAUAACCGCGCCGAUUGACGUUACCCGCAGAAGAAGCACCGGCUAACUCCGUGCCAGCCGCCGCGGUAA
Molecule: ribosomal RNA, 504 nt
Filed under: uncultured bacterium
Lineage: Bacteria
Description: partial 16S ribosomal RNA
Rfam family: Bacterial small subunit ribosomal RNA
Source: RNAcentral